RNAcentral lists this ribosomal RNA (909 nucleotides) under Triticum aestivum (bread wheat). RNAcentral's name for it is "partial small subunit ribosomal RNA". Lineage: Eukaryota; Viridiplantae; Streptophyta; Magnoliopsida; Poales; Poaceae. The record is from RNAcentral.
AUGGGGGGGCGAGAAGACGAAGAAUCCCCAAGAGAUGAUCACGACGGUGAUGCUGUACACAGUCAUCAUGUAGAAGAUGCAGGACAUGAUGAUGAUGCCGGCGGAGCAGACGACGCUGGACCAUCGAUGGGCUGGGUGCAGGACCCUCAUAUUCAAGAGCUGCUUCUCAAGCAGACGGAUAACGCAAGAGCUGCCGCCCGAGAGAAAGCCAAGAUGGAUCAACUUGAGUUAGACGCGGUUACUCCAUUGUAUGAAGGAUGCAGACCCGAGGAUACCCGCCUGAAAGUAACGCUCAUGGCUCUGGAGAUGAAGGUAAAACACAAAAUGACCGACGCAUGCUUCGACGAGAACAUGUCAUUCUGGCACAAACGUCUUCCCAAGGGGAACAAGUGCCCGACAAGUUUGGAGGAGGCGAAGAAAAUCGUGUGUCCUCUGGAUUUACCGCACGUGAAAUACCAUGUGUGCAUGAACAAUUGCAUCAUUUAUCGGGACGAGCACGCGGAGUCUACCAUAUGUCCGGUGUGCGGUGUCACUCGAUACAAGAAGAGGAAGAAAGCUCCUCGAAAAGUGGUGUGGUACUUUCCGAUCACUCCUCGUCUGCAGCGGUAUUUCGCGGAUCCUAAGGUAGCAAAGCUCCUGCGUUGGCACGCGGAUAGGGAGGAGAAGAAGCGAGAAGAUGACGCAAAUGAUCCGGAGAUAGAUAAAAAAGACAAGAUGCUGAGUCACCCUAAGGAUGCGAGCCAGUGGCAAGCGUUGAACUUCGAAUACCCAGAAUUUGGGAACAAUCCAAGGAACAUCAUGCUGGGCGCGAGCACCGAUGGAGUCAAUCCGUUUGGCAGCCAGAGAAGCACACAUAGCACCUGGCCUGUGUUUGUGUGGAUGUACAACCUUCCCCCUGGUUGUGCAUGA